Molecule: long non-coding RNA, 1369 nt
Filed under: Pan troglodytes (chimpanzee)
Lineage: Eukaryota; Metazoa; Chordata; Mammalia; Primates; Hominidae
Description: long non-coding RNA NONPTRT016449
Source: RNAcentral
CCAGAGAAGAAUCAAGGCCUCCAAAAUUAGUCAUGGAAUCUGUCACUCUUCCACUAGAAACCUUAGUGUCCCCACAUGAGGAAAGUACUUCAUUAUGUCCUGAGGAACAGUUGGUUAUAGAAAGGCUACAAGGAGAAAAGGAACAGAAAGAAAAUUCUGAACUUUCUACUGGAUUGAUGGACUCUGAAAUGACUCCUACAAUUGAGGGUUGUGUGAAAGAUGUUUCAUACCAAGGAAGCAAAUCUAUAAAGUUAUCAUCUGAGACAGAGUCAUCAUUUUCAUCAUCAGCAGACAUAAGCAAGGCAGAUGCGUCUUCCUCCCCAACACCUUCUUCAGACUUGCCUUCGCAUGACAUGCUGCAUAAUUACCCUUCAGCUCUUAGUUCCUCUGCUGGAAACAUCAUGCCAACAACUUACAUCUCAGUCACUCCAAAAAUUGGCAUGGGUAAACCAGCUAUUACUAAGAGAAAAUUUUCUCCUGGUAGACCUCGGUCCAAACAGGGCCGUGGGUCUGGAUUUCCAGGAAAGCGGAGACCUCGAGGUGCAGGACUGUCGGGGCGAGGUGGCCGAGGCAGGUCAAAGCUGAAAAGUGGAAUCGGAGCUGUUGUAUUGCCUGGGGUGUCUACUGCAGAUAUUUCAUCAAAUAAGGAUGAUGAAGAAAACUCUAUGCACAAUACAGUUGUGUUGUUUUCUAGCAGUGACAAGUUCACUUUGAAUCAGGAUAUGUGUGUAGUUUGUGGCAGUUUUGGCCAAGGAGCAGAAGGAAGAUUACUUGCCUGUUCUCAGUGUGGUCAGUGUUACCAUCCAUACUGUGUCAGUAUUAAGGAGAACUUAUGGAUUGUGAUGGAAAAUCAGAAUCUAGUCCUGAGCGGGAAGCUGUGGAUGAUGAAACUAAGGGAGUGGAAGGAACAGAUGGUGUCAAAAAGAGAAAAAGGAAACCAUACAGACCAGGUAUUGGUGGAUUUAUGGUGCGGCAAAGAAGUCGAACUGGGCAAGGGAAAACUAAAAGAUCUGUGAUCAGAAAAGAGUCCUCAGGCUCCAUUUCCGAGCAGUUACCUUGCAGAGAUGAUGGCUGGAGUGAGCAGUUACCAGAUACUUUAGUUGAUGAAUCUGUUUCUGUUACUGAAAGCACUGAAAAAAUAAAGAAGAGAUACCGAAAAAGGAAAAAUAAGCUUGAAGAAACUUUCCCUGCCUAUUUACAAGUAAGAAGCUUUCUUUGGAAAAGAUCUUCUAGAUACAAGUAGACAAAGCAAGAUAAGUUUAGAUAAUCUGUCAGAAGAUGGAGCUCAGCUUUUAUAUAAAACAAACAUGAACACAGGUUUCUUGGAUCCUUCCUUAGAUCCACUACUUAGUUCAUCCUCGGCUCCAAC